Molecule: unclassified non-coding RNA, 143 nt
Filed under: soil metagenome
Description: partial internal transcribed spacer 1
Source: RNAcentral
UAAUAAGUGUUUAUGGCACUUUUUAAAUCCAUAUCCACCUUGUGUGCAAUGUCAGUCGAUCUUCUUCAUGGAGAUCGACCAAACAUCAACCUUUAUUUUUAACUCUUUGUCUGAAAAAUAUUAUGAAUAAACAAUUCAAAAUA